AUCUAAUUAGUAUAACUAAGUACUACAAGUUUCCAACUUGAAGGUUCAUUUGAAUUAGAUA
This 61-nucleotide transfer RNA is filed under the name Proasellus rectus. RNAcentral's name for it is "transfert RNA-G(GGA)". Lineage: Eukaryota; Metazoa; Arthropoda; Malacostraca; Isopoda; Asellidae. The record is from RNAcentral.